RNAcentral lists this ribosomal RNA (253 nucleotides) under uncultured bacterium. RNAcentral's name for it is "partial 16S ribosomal RNA". It matches the Rfam family "Bacterial small subunit ribosomal RNA", at positions 524 to 776 of the family's 1533-position model. The record is from RNAcentral.
UACGGCGGGUGCAAGCGUUGUCCGGAAUCACUGGGCGUAAAGGGCGCGUAGGCGGCUCAUGAAGGCUGUGGUGAAAGUCCGGGGCUCAACCUCGGAUCGGCCGUGGCGACUCGUGGGCUGGAGCACUGUAGAGGCGGGUGGAAUUCCGGGUGUAGCGGUGGAAUGCGUAGAGAUCCGGAAGAACACCAGUGGCGAAGGCGGCCCGCUGGGCAGUGGCUGACGCUGAGGCGCGACAGCGUGGGGAGCAAACAGG